GACCCUGUAGCUCAGCCGGUAGAGCAGUGGCCUUUUAAGCCAAUGGUCGUGGGUUCGAUCCCCACCGGGGUCA
Molecule: transfer RNA, 73 nt
Filed under: Candidatus Magasanikiibacteriota bacterium
Lineage: Bacteria; Candidatus Magasanikiibacteriota
Description: tRNA-Lys
Rfam family: tRNA
About the family: Transfer RNA (tRNA) molecules are approximately 80 nucleotides in length.
Source: RNAcentral